This 318-nucleotide ribosomal RNA is filed under the name uncultured Glomeromycotina. Its description in RNAcentral is "LSU rRNA". The record is from RNAcentral. Lineage: Eukaryota; Fungi; Glomeromycota.
CGUCUCGUGGGUUUUGAAGAGUUUCAAAGCCUUCGGAUUCGCGGGAUUGGGAUCUCUUGGUGUACUUUUUCGUACGGUUAGUCAACAUCGGUUUUGUAUGUCAUAAAAUGACUGGAGGAAUGUAGCUUCGAUCUCGUAUUGAAGUGUUAUAGCCUUUGGUAGAUGUGAUGUUUGAGACCGAGGAUUGCAACGGAUACCCUUCAGGGCUAUUCGUCUGAUCUCUGAUACGUUGCCUUGAUGUUGAAAGCUCGCUUAUGAUGUUAGGGUAUUACGGUCAAAAGGUUAGAACGAAUUACAUUCGUUAAGGAUGUUGACGUA